UACGGAGGAUGCGAGCGUUAUCCGGAUUUAUUGGGUUUAAAGGGUGCGCAGGCGGAUUUUUAAGUCAGCGGUCAAAUCGUGGGGCUCAACCCCAUCCAGCCGUUGAAACUGGGGAUCUAGAGUGUGCGAGAGGUAUGCGGAAUGCGUGGUGUAGCGGUGAAAUGCAUAGAUAUCACGCAGAACCCCGAUUGCGAAGGCAGCAUACCGGUGCACAACUGACGCACAGGCACGAAAGCGUGGGUAUCGAACAGG
RNAcentral lists this ribosomal RNA (252 nucleotides) under uncultured bacterium. Its description in RNAcentral is "partial 16S ribosomal RNA". It matches the Rfam family "Bacterial small subunit ribosomal RNA", at positions 524 to 776 of the family's 1533-position model. The record is from RNAcentral.